This 406-nucleotide long non-coding RNA is filed under the name Lathyrus oleraceus (garden pea). Its description in RNAcentral is "Pisum sativum (pea) long non-coding RNA (PSAT_LNC038618)". Lineage: Eukaryota; Viridiplantae; Streptophyta; Magnoliopsida; Fabales; Fabaceae. The record is from RNAcentral.
AAAGAGAGAGGACUUUGGAGAAGAAGAGGAAGAACCUAGAAAGGAGAAGGAAAAGCUUGAAUCAAAGCCAAAUACAACCAUUUUCAUCAUCAAUCAUCUUCAUCUACCAAGGUGGCUUCUAGGUAGUUCUACCUUUUGGAAAAAGAAUUCAUGAAAAAUGGGGUUAAGGUUUAAUGAUCUUUUACUUGAUGGUGAAAUUAAUGGCUGGUAUAUGACUAUGAUCAUGUUUUAUGUUAUUGUUGUUAAUUUCAUGAUAAUAUGCUAUGUUUUAGUUGUUAUUUCUUUGAUGCAUUGUUGUGAUCACCAUGAAGUUUAAGUUGAAUUUAAGGUAUGCGAUUAUUGGGUAUGUUAAAAGGUGAUUAUACAUGUCUUAGAGUAGAUAAAAAUUGUAGAAAAUGGAGUUUUA